Molecule: ribosomal RNA, 641 nt
Filed under: Ganoderma applanatum
Lineage: Eukaryota; Fungi; Basidiomycota; Agaricomycetes; Polyporales; Polyporaceae
Description: eukaryotic LSU rRNA
Rfam family: 5.8S ribosomal RNA (bases 244-397)
Source: RNAcentral
GUAACAAGGUUUCCGUAGGUGAACCUGCGGAAGGAUCAUUAUCGAGUUUUGACUGGGUUGUAGCUGGCCUUCCGAGGCAUGUGCACGCCCUGCUCAUCCACUCUACACCUGUGCACUUACUGUGGGUAUCAGAUCGUGAAGCGUGCUCUUUUACCGGAGCUUGUGAAGCGUGUCUGUGCCUGCGUUUAUCACAAACACUAUAAAGUAUCAGAAUGUGUAUUACGAUGUAACGCAUCUAUAUACAACUUUCAGCAACGGAUCUCUUGGCUCUCGCAUCGAUGAAGAACGCAGCGAAAUGCGAUAAGUAAUGUGAAUUGCAGAAUUCAGUGAAUCAUCGAAUCUUUGAACGCACCUUGCGCUCCUUGGUAUUCCGAGGAGCAUGCCUGUUUGAGUGUCAUGAAAUCUUCAACCUAUAAGCUUUUGUGGUUUGUAGGCUUGGACUUGGAGGCUUGUCGGCCUUGAUCGGUCGGCUCCUCUUAAAUGCAUUAGCUUGAUUCCUUGCGGAUCGGCUCUCGGUGUGAUAAUAUCUACGCCGCGACCGUGAAGUGUUUGGCGAGCUUCUAACCGUCUCACUUGAGAGACAACUUUAUGACCUCUGACCUCAAAUCAGGUAGGACUACCCGCUGAACUUAAGCAUAUCA